GGGCAGUUAGCUCAGUUGGCAGAGCACCGGUGUCACAGACCGGGGGUCGCAGGUUCAACUCCUGCACUGCCCA
This 73-nucleotide transfer RNA is filed under the name Candidatus Dadabacteria bacterium. Its description in RNAcentral is "tRNA-Val". It matches the Rfam family "tRNA". From Rfam's summary of the family: Transfer RNA (tRNA) molecules are approximately 80 nucleotides in length. Their secondary structure includes four short double-helical elements and three loops (D, anti-codon, and T loops). Lineage: Bacteria; Pseudomonadati; Thermodesulfobacteriota; Candidatus Dadabacteria. The record is from RNAcentral.